ACUGCCUGCCCAGUGACUAAAGUUAAACGGCCGCGGUAUCCUGACCGUGCAAAGGUAGCAUAAUCACUUGUUCCUUAAUUAGGGACUAGCAUGAAUGGCAAGACGAGGAUUUAACUGUCUCUUACUACCAAUCAGUGAAAUUGACCUUCCAGUGAAGAGGCUGGAAUAACAUAAUAAGACGAGAAGACCCUAUGGAGCUUUAAUUAACUAGCUUAACUACUAAAUAUUACCCCUAAUGGAACAAAAACAAAACUAUAGGCUAGCAAUUUUGGUUGGGGUGACCUCGGAGAACAAAAUAACCUCCGAAUGAUUAUAGCACAGACACACAAGUCAAAGCAAAACACUUCAUCUAAUUGACCCAAACUAUUUGACCAACGGACCAAGUUACCCUAGGGAUAACAGCGCAAUCCUAUUUAAGAGUCCCUAUCGACAAUAGGGUUUACGACCUCGAUGUUGGAUCAGGACAUCCCAAUGGUGCAGAAACUAUUAAUGGUUCGUUUG
RNAcentral lists this ribosomal RNA (501 nucleotides) under Grammomys sp. Its description in RNAcentral is "partial small subunit ribosomal RNA". It matches the Rfam family "Bacterial large subunit ribosomal RNA", at positions 1854 to 2579 of the family's 2925-position model. The record is from RNAcentral. Lineage: Eukaryota; Metazoa; Chordata; Mammalia; Rodentia; Muridae.